UACGUAGGUGGCAAGCGUUAUCCGGAUUUACUGGGUGUAAAGGGCGUGUAGGCGGGACUGCAAGUCAGAUGUGAAAACUAUGGGCUCAACUCAUAGCCUGCAUUUGAAACUGCCAUGCUGGAGUGCCGGAGAGGCAAGUGGAAUUCCUAGUGUAGCGGUGAAAUGCGUAGAGAUCGGGAGGAACACCAGUGGCGAAGGCGGCCUACUGGACUGUAACUGACGUUGAGGCUCGAAAGCGUGGGGAGCAA
This 248-nucleotide ribosomal RNA is filed under the name uncultured Ruminiclostridium sp. RNAcentral's name for it is "partial 16S ribosomal RNA". It matches the Rfam family "Bacterial small subunit ribosomal RNA", at positions 524 to 771 of the family's 1533-position model. Lineage: Bacteria; Bacillati; Bacillota; Clostridia; Eubacteriales; Oscillospiraceae. The record is from RNAcentral.